This 468-nucleotide ribosomal RNA is filed under the name uncultured bacterium. Its description in RNAcentral is "partial 16S ribosomal RNA". It matches the Rfam family "Bacterial small subunit ribosomal RNA", at positions 28 to 507 of the family's 1533-position model. The record is from RNAcentral.
GACGAACGCUGGCGGCGUGCUUAACACAUGCCAGUCGAACGGAAAGGCCCUGCUUUUGUGGGGUGCUCGAGUGGCGAACGGGUGAGUAACACGUGAGUAACCUGCCCUUGACUUUGGGAUAACUUCAGGAAACUGAGGCUAAUACCGGAUAGGAGCUCCUGCUGCAUGGUGGGGGUUGGAAAGUUUCGGCGGUUGGGGAUGGACUCGCGGCUUAUCAGCUUGUUGGUGGGGUAGUGGCUUACCAAGGCUUUGACGGGUAGCCGGCCUGAGAGGGUGACCGGCCACAUUGGGACUGAGAUACGGCCCAGACUCCUACGGGAGGCAGCAGUGGGGAAUAUUGCACAAUGGGCGGAAGCCUGAUGCAGCAACGCCGCGUGCGGGAUGACGGCCUUCGGGUUGUAAACCGCUUUCGCCUGUGACGAAGCGUGAGUGACGGUAAUGGGUAAAGAAGCACCGGCUAACUACGUG